Cynoglossus semilaevis (tongue sole) is the source of this 1299-nucleotide long non-coding RNA. RefSeq lists it as uncharacterized. NCBI's taxonomy places the organism in Eukaryota, Metazoa, Chordata, Actinopteri, Pleuronectiformes, Cynoglossidae. The transcript is spliced from 3 exons. The record is from RefSeq and is a predicted model, not a curated record.
ACACCAUAUUACACCGAAGCACGAUAUUAAGCACAAAGCUGAGACUCAGGCUUGUUAUUGGAAUCCCACCCUGGCUGACUGUGGUGUGUCGAGGAAGCAGCAAAAAUUCCCUCGCUCCCCGGGCGCUCCUGAAAGCACCCGCUGCUCGCCACAGAUGGUUUAAAUACCAAUGACAAAUUUUUGUUCUGUGUGUAUUGGUGUAAAUGUACCAAGUCCAGAAAUAUAUAAUUAAUUUUCUAGUUAUUAAGAAAUUAAAAUGUUGAAUUUAAUCUCAGUAAUUCACACUCAAAUUCACACCAACAGUCAAUUUCACACCAACAUUUGACCUAACUCUGCACCUUUUUAAGGUUGCGGGAGUAAACCUCAGAAAGAGGAAAGAGAGAAAACUCACGUACAUACAGUGAGAACAUGUAAAUGAUCUCUCGACUGUAAGGCAAAAGCUCCAACCACUUCCCCACUUUGUGACCUGCAACUGACUGCAUUUCUAUCAAACAACUGAAAGGUUUGGUUCCAUUUGGUUCUACUUUCUGCAAAGAAUUGUAUUUUUUUUUCACACCUAACAACAAACCUAAACCAUUACACACUUAUACAAACAUGCACAUGUGGUUUAACACCUGCAGAAAAUCACACAAAAAAACCCCAAGACUUGACAAAUUCUGAUCUUGAUGUGCACCAAUAAGUAAACAAAGAUCAGAUCAAUCCCACAAACCCCCUGACCAUCAACCCUUCACCUCGUGUUGACAACAUUCUCACGUGGCUUUUGUCACAGACACUUCAAGUCGCCGUCUUAAUUCACUUCCUGUAUUUCUGAAUUUUACCUAAAUACACAAUAACCCCCCACACAGAGUCAGUUGUCCACGGCUAGGACACAACAGAGAGACACGCGGAGCAGACAGAAGAGAGGGCGUCAAGAACCAAAACAAAAGCCUCGGACAAACCUUGGUCUCCCGCAGCAAAGUCGCUGCAAGGUGGUUCAUACUCAAACAAGUAGUCAAACUCCAGGUCCUCAUCAGGGCGGGUCAAUUUUCGGAGUGAACGCGCAACUGUGUUUUGAGUGCGAUCGCGCCUGUCAGUGCAGAGGUGACGCUGUCUGUGAGAGACAACAAGAGGAACAGGAAACUAACUUUAUGUCCAGGUGACGAAAACAAAGCCAACGGUGACGCAACUUGAUCGUCGUCAGAAGCCACCGCUGCAACCGUGACUGCAGCCUAAUGCUGCCCCCGGGUGUUGGACACGCUGCAGUGACACAGCAGGGUGCAGCUGAUCUGGAACAUCUACCACGGAGCAGCAGCAGCAGUA